AGUCUGCAACUCGACUACAUGAAGCUGGAAUCGCUAGUAAUCGCGGAUCAGAAUGCCGCGGUGAAUACGUUCCCGGGUCUUGUACACACCGCCCGUCACACCAUGGGAGCCGGAAAUGCCCGAAGUCUGUGACUCAACCGAAAGGGGGAGCUGCCGAAGGCAGGCCUGGUAACUGGGGUGAAGUCGUAACAAGGUAUC
Molecule: ribosomal RNA, 198 nt
Filed under: uncultured bacterium
Lineage: Bacteria
Description: partial 16S ribosomal RNA
Rfam family: Bacterial small subunit ribosomal RNA
Source: RNAcentral